Molecule: transfer RNA, 85 nt
Organism: Felis catus (domestic cat)
Lineage: Eukaryota; Metazoa; Chordata; Mammalia; Carnivora; Felidae
Rfam family: tRNA
About the family: Transfer RNA (tRNA) molecules are approximately 80 nucleotides in length. Their secondary structure includes four short double-helical elements and three loops (D, anti-codon, and T loops). Further hydrogen bonds mediate the characteristic L-shaped molecular structure. tRNAs have two regions of fundamental functional importance: the anti-codon, which is responsible for specific mRNA codon recognition, and the 3' end, to which the tRNAs corresponding amino acid is attached (by aminoacyl-tRNA synthetases). tRNAs cope with the degeneracy of the genetic code in two manners: having more than one tRNA (with a specific anti-codon) for a particular amino acid; and 'wobble' base-pairing, i.e. permitting non-standard base-pairing at the 3rd anti-codon position.
Source: Rfam
ACCCGGGUGGCUCAGUUGGUUGAGCGUCUGACUUAGGCUCAGGUCAUGAUCUCGUAGUCUGUGAGUUCGAGCCCCACGUCGGGCU